Unclassified non-coding RNA from Erinaceus europaeus (western European hedgehog), 332 nucleotides. Its record names the gene 7SK. It matches the Rfam family "7SK RNA". Rfam says of the family: 7SK was discovered as an abundant small nuclear RNA in the mid-70s but a possible function has only recently been suggested. Two independent studies have found that 7SK RNA binds the CDK9/cyclin T complex (known as elongation factor P-TEFb). NCBI's taxonomy places the organism in Eukaryota, Metazoa, Chordata, Mammalia, Eulipotyphla, Erinaceidae. The record is from Ensembl.
GGAUGUGAGAGCAGUCUGGCUGCGACUCUGCCAUGCCAGAGUUGAUUUGGCUCAUCUGACUGGCUAGGUAGGUAUCCCCUUCCUCCCUCACUGCUCCCUGUGCAUCCCUCCCAAAGCUGCAUGCUUGGUUGAAGAGGACGGCCUUGCCCAAAUAGAGAUGGACCGGUUUUUGGUCGGGGGUAUACGCGUAGCUGCGAUCCCCUGUCAAACCUCCAAAUAAGCUCUCAAGGUCCAAAAUUAGUACAAACAAAUCUGGCAUUUCUGUAUACAAACAGGAGAUCAGAGGGGAGGGAAAUAAAGACUCAAUCCUAUUUACAAAUGAACUUAAAUAG